Non-coding RNA from Pelobates cultripes (western spadefoot toad), 4219 nucleotides. The record is from the annotation of a GenBank genome assembly. NCBI's taxonomy places the organism in Eukaryota, Metazoa, Chordata, Amphibia, Anura, Pelobatidae.
UGGAAAAGAAUAUCCUUAAAAUCGGAAUGGGCAAGACAUCCUGAAAUUUAGCAUUGUCUUACAUCCUAUAGAAGAAAUACCUUAGUCUGUCACAGUCAGCAUAUUGACUUUAAGUAUUCAAUAUCCCUUCAGUCAGCAAUAAUCAUGUUAUAAACCUUAUAAAAGCAUAAAAUACAUAUAAACAAGUUAACUAUUUAAUAUUCUUACAUUCCCCUCUUUGAGCAAUAAAACAAUUGCUCAUCUUAUCGAUAAAAUCUUACCAGGACAGAGAAACUUCCACAUGGUAUUUUCAGGGGUGCUAGUCACUCCCUGCGGGACUUUCAUUAAUUUCUUCACCUCGAUUCCCAUGUGGUAAUUCCUAAGGCCCAGUUUAAAGAUGGGUUGAUACUCUACAGUGGCAGAGAGGAGAAUUUCUAAUUGUUUCUGUUCUGCAUUAUGGAUUCAUUUCUGUACUCUCUUCCUCAAUGUACAAACAAGAUGACAGUUAUAUAAAAUCAUACACAAUAAAAUCAGGACUAUAAUAACAAAAUGAUAGAAGAAUGAUUUCAUUAUCUGAGAUCCAGUAGGGGACCAACCAGUAAAGCAUUGUACCAAUGAUGGGCUAAAUCAUUCUGAAUUUGUGAACUCACCUUAAGGAGUUCUCCUUUUAGGAUAUGUGUGGCUACCUGUGUGUGUUAUCUUUGGGAAAAAUAUAGUCCCCUGUGUAUGUGGGUGCCCACCAGGUUAAAUUCUUGGCAAAAAGAUCAUAAACUGGUACUGGUAAUGUGUUAAAUUGACAAGCUAAUUUAACAUCCUUUGAUGAUGUAUGAUAUAAUGUAAAAUAACAUGAGCAUGAAAAAUGUGAAACAUUACCAGUUAACCAUCCAUUGCAUUUACUGGAUUGGGGUUUUAGAAGUAACCAUUCAUUAUCUGUGAGGUUACACAUUCCUCUAAUCUUCUCUAGUUUAGGAAUCAUUAGUGUGUUUUCUAAUGCCAAUCCUUGUUGUUGUAUCCAUAAAUACCUGAUGGCACAAGUACUCCAGUUACUUAGACCUGUAGUGAAUUUCAUAGUUGCAACAGUUAAAUUAUCUAAAUAAUUAUACAUUGAUUUAUCUAAAUCCAAUCCUGUAACCUGUGAUUUAACAACAAUUGGAGCCCAAUUUGCAGUAGCAUGAAAACCAGUCCCUAUAUGCAUGCUGGCUGUGUUUAACUUAUUCUUGAGGGUCUCCAUAUCUAUAACUAUUUAGUAUACCCAUAGUGGUUCCAGCACCUCCUAACAGUGUGUCAUACCAUUCCCUUUUCUGCCUUUUGUUUGCUGUGUUACAUAAUGUUACAACAGGAGUAGUGAUUUUUAAUGACACAUGUACAGCUUGUAAGAAGGCAGUUGUAUUAACACAUGUGGACGGAAUAGGUGUGUGUGUGUCGUGGUUGACUUUUGGUUCUAUGGUAGAGGAUAAAGGACAGUAAUAAGGUGUAAAAAUAUAAGGUAGUGUAUAGUUCUCAAUUGUAGUGUUGUUCAUAAUGACUAACAUUUGUCCCCUUCUCCAAUUAAUGAUACCAGUUAUAUAAUCAUUAUUAAAAGUAAUAAGGCCUGUCUGUUUACAUUGAUAUGCAACCUUAACUGUGCACAUUUCUGCGUUAUAAGAUCUAACAAUUUUCUGUGAACCUUUAAACAAACAUAAUGCAUCGGUUUCAUUAGCUGUAGACACAUUCCAUAUGGGUAACUGGUACUUAUAAGGGUUACUAUUUGUCCAAUUCAUCCAAAUGCGUUCAGUGAAUGAAUGAUUGCAUAUUGCAUGCUGAUAGAAAGGUGGUGGAGAAAGGUUCUUGAGGGGGCGUGUGUGACGAAUGCUAGAUGAGGGGCUAAGGCCUAAUUGGGCUGGGGGUAUUGAAGAAUUGUUCAUCAUGUCAGAGUCUUUUUCCAGAACUUGCCAUUGACUUGUACUCAUAAUGGCAUUCAAGGAACAAUAUCAGAGGGAGUAUAACAACUCCAGAAAGCAUAGCACACAACAUAAUCUUGGUCUCAGGUACGUAUGAUCCUCUACGAUACGGUGUGAAAACCAUGAUGCUUCGCUGAGGAGAAAUUCUUCUGUUUCCGAGCGAGGAGUGGUGUUGUCUUCCUUGGUUCCCCUCUUUGGACACAGCUUCACUCGGGAUGCGUGAAUCCAGAUGUCAUGGGAAUCUGUGAGGACAGCGGUUCUGGUUACAGCAAUCACAGUAGCAGGUGGUCCAAAAGGGUAUCCUCCUUUCUUGGUCCUGUUCAGCUGACGGAUAUACACCUUGUCACCGGGCUGGUAUGAAUGAGUAGGUUCCUGUGAAGGUAAGGGAAAACUGCGAAGAAACAUUGUCAUACAUACCAUUCGGUUUUAUCAACAAUUCACCUUGUGGGGAUAUAUUCUUAUCUCAGCUAAAAUAGCUGGUAGAUAUCUAGUCCAAUUUACCCAUGUUCCUGGGUAAAUUCUGGGCUUUUCCUUAAUAGUCCUAUUCAUCCUUUCAACUACCACUGUAUUCUGUGGAUGAUAGGGUAUAUGAAACUGCCAGGUAACUUGCAAGAAUUUAGCAAGUUCCUGGGCAACCCCACUUGCAAAAACCGGGCCAUUAUCAGAGCCAAUCUGCAGAGGGCAGCCAUACCUGGGAAUAAUUUCAGUAACAAUAAUCUUCACUAGCAUCCUCCCUAGAUGUCACAAAGGCAUCAUGCCAUCCACUAAACUGAUUAACUAUGACCAGUAAGUAUUGCUGUUUCUUACCAAUUUUGGAUACAUGAAUAAAAUCAAUCUGUAAGUGUGUAAAAAGAGCAGUGUUCACACGAUCUUACAAAAGACUGUACAUGCUGCCUGAGAUUCCUAAUAUAAAAUGAAUUCAUGAAGAAUUGAAUGGUGCUUGCUAUGUGCCUGACUGAUGAAAAUAAAUCAGCUUGCUUCAAGUAUGCCUAUUCUUCAAGUAUGCCUAUUCUCCCCUCUUUAGAGAACAGAUCAUUCUGAUCUUUCUCUAAACCUUAUUUAAUCCAAAAGACAGAUUGUGGGUAUUUAAAAAAAGAAUCUCAUAACCACUGAAGCGCUGGGCUGUCAUGUGUUGUGUGGUGAGAUUUGUCAGCUGAGUGACCUGGUGACUGGCAUAAAGUAUUGUAGGAUGCCCUAGUGUGAUAGUAGUAGCAGUUUCAACAGCCAUUGCACAUGCUAUCAAUGCUCUGAGACACGCCGGCAUACCCUGUACCGGAGCUCGAACUACUUUGGAAAAGAAUGCUAUGGGACGCAUACCGCCUCCUUGCUCUUGUGCACAGACCGCGGCCAUGGUUUUACAAUUGUCCCAAACAUACAAAUGAAAUGGUUUACAAUACACAGGUAGUCCUAAAGCCUGGGCUUGCACAAUAACAACUGUAAGGGCAAUAUAUGCAGCUAGCAUGUCUGGUGACCAGCAGACAUUUUCAGGGCUGUCAGAACGUACAGCCUCCCUUAGGAUUGAGUCAUAAUGGGAGCAUUCAGGGAUCCAUUGGUGGCAGUAAUUAAUCAUGCCGAGGAAGGUGAGCAACUCCUUCCGAGUAGUGGGUGUAGGAAUCCUCUGAAUGACCUCAAUACGUUUUGGACUCAAUUGUCUGGUGCCUAAAGCCAGAACAAAACCUAAGUAUUCAACCUUUGAUUUACACAAUUGCAUUUUGUGUUUAACAACCUUGUGACCUACAGUUGCUGACAGUAUCCACAGUGCUUGCCUCAUAGCUAGGGCUACAUAACAACAAAUCAUCAACAUUUUGCAAAAAGGACGGAACCAUGACCGGUGGUCCAUGUUUUUUAGAGUAUGUUAGAGUACCAACGAAUAAACAGCUGGGGAAUCCACAUAGCCUUGGGUAAGCGUGUCCAGGUAAACUGACAGCCUUCAAAAAGUAAAAACCAUAAGUAGCUGUGUCUCUUGAUCAAUAGGUAUAGAAAAAAAUGCAUUACUUAAAUCAAUGACAGUGAAGCAAGUGGCAUCAUGUGGAAUGGCUAUAAUGAGGGAUGUCACAUCAGGGACAAUGGGUGAAAUGGGCACAAUUAAACUAUUCAGGGCUCUAAAGUCCUGAACUAAGCGAUAUGCUGGCCAGUGGUGUUGGGAGUGGGUCUGGUGUUGUUCUUGCCUACCGGGCAUAUUUUGAGAAUGGUGGGGUUGUUGGGGUGUGUGGGGUUUCCUGGGGUUUCCUGGGGUGUGGACACUCAUUCCUCCAGUGGCCAUAUUGGCCACAGUUGAAACAAGUGUUCCUGUCUAUUCC